UAGCUCGUAUUGUUAGUGUUUCCUUUCUCUGAAACUUCCACCCAUUGCUCCUUGUUCUGGCCGCCUAAGGACAAGCAGGACAAGUUUAAUCUUUCCCCAGCUGUUUUUUAAAUACUUAAAGACAGUCGUCAUGCAUUGCCUCCCCCUGCCUGCCCCCCCCAACCUCCAGUUUUCUCUUUUACAGGAUGAAUACCCCCAAUUCUUUCAACUGAUCCUUAGGUCCAUGAUCUCAAGAGUCCUUCAUCAUUCUGGUGGCUUUUCUCCAGGUCUUCUUCAACUUAUCCAAGGUCCUUCCUAAAACAUGGUGCCCAGUACUGAAAACUGCUCCAGACAGGAGUGGGGGAGGACACACCAAAAGUCAGGGAGUGCAGAAAGUAAGAGAGCAGGUUUUCAUCCUAGCCAGGUGCUAGAGUAUGGAAUGACUUCUCUGUAAAUCACAAUGUCCUUUCAUGAGUCACCACAGGGAAAAAAUAAAUUUAUCACCUUGCAGCCAAACUUUUGGUGAUGAGCCUUUCACCCUAUUCCAGCUUAAAUGACUCAAAAUUAAUAAUCAUUCAUGGAAUAUGGGCCAAAACAGAAACUGAAAUUAAUUUGGGAGAAAUGAUGAUUCUGAACUUUAUUUCACCUUUUCAUUGAUUCAAAAAAUAUUGAUCACAUGCAAAGUGUAGUAUGGGGCCCAGGGGAGAUAUAAAGAAAAAUAAGAUGGCUCUCUCACCCUCAUUAAUGAAGGAAAUAGCAAACUGCUCCAGGAUCUUUGCCAAGAAAACCCCAUGGACAGUAUGGUCCAUGGGAUCACAAAGAGUUGGACAUGACUGAACGAGUAAAGAACAAAAACUCACCUUCAAGGUCCUUACAAUAAUAAAGGUUCAGAAAUGGA
Molecule: non-coding RNA, 877 nt
Organism: Phascolarctos cinereus (koala)
Lineage: Eukaryota; Metazoa; Chordata; Mammalia; Diprotodontia; Phascolarctidae
Source: RefSeq, a predicted model, not a curated record